UGGAAUAGCUCAGUUGGUAGAGCAGCUGUCUCGUAAUCAGCAGGUCGUAGGUUCAAGUCCUAUUUCCAG
This 69-nucleotide transfer RNA is filed under the name human gut metagenome. It matches the Rfam family "tRNA". Rfam says of the family: Transfer RNA (tRNA) molecules are approximately 80 nucleotides in length. RNAcentral also lists the same sequence under 1 other name. The record is from RNAcentral.